This 68-nucleotide transfer RNA is filed under the name Mythimna pallidicosta. RNAcentral's name for it is "tRNA-Leu". Lineage: Eukaryota; Metazoa; Arthropoda; Insecta; Lepidoptera; Noctuidae. The record is from RNAcentral.
ACUAUUGGGGCAGAAAAGUGAGAUGAUUUUAAAAAUCAUUUAUAUAUAGUAAAAUUAUAUAGAUAGGA